Molecule: long non-coding RNA, 1313 nt
Organism: Tigriopus californicus
Lineage: Eukaryota; Metazoa; Arthropoda; Copepoda; Harpacticoida; Harpacticidae
Exons: 3
Source: RefSeq, a predicted model, not a curated record
ACAAUUUUUGGACCAGGCGUUGGAGACGAGCAUUUUCAAUCUUAUCUAAAGUAUAUUCGUUGAGAAAUGGGAGAAGAGGACGAUGAUCGACGAUAAUCUCGAAUUUUGGGAGUCCCAACAGGUCCCGCAAGGGUUCCGCGAAUCGGGCGAUGUUGGGGGUGAACAUACCAAGCUGGUUAGCUGAUCCCAUGAACACCAUUGUCAAAAACGUAGUCAAUCAGUAUUAAACAUACUCUUAGUCACGCUAAUUCUCAAAAUUGCCCACCCUGGGUGCUAGGGUCGGAGGGGUAAACCUCGCCCAGCCAGUGAAGCUAGCCAUCACAUCAUCCAUAUAAAGUUCCAUCCAACUGGAAAAGGAAGCUCAUGACCGUCGAGUUCAACAUGAGACACAAGAACAAGAGAUAAGACAGAAACGAGAAGCCGAAGAGGACGAAACCUGUUUCAAAGCUUUGGAAGAAGAAGCUCGUUUAGAAAUCGAAAGUCUGAAGUUGUCAGGAUUCGGGAAAGCUUCAGAUGAAAUCGACGGAAUACUUGAUGCAACUCGAAAUGGGAAUACGCCAAGAUCUCAAAAGCUUCCCGCCAACCAAGCAUCUCUGUCAUUACAAAAAGCGGACAUUAAUCGCCAAAUUGAUUUGCUGGCAGAGAUUGCUGAACGCUCUCACUCUCCGAGAAUAAUGGCACUAAUAUUGGAAAUACACAUGUACGCUCUAAGGACAAAAGUGCAGCUUCUAGCUAUUAUCAUGUUAUGAAUAAUGCCUCUGAGCAGGCGAUUCUGCCCAACGCUGUCCCUGCUCCUAAUGGGCUCUCCGGGACACUAAUGUGUUAUAUAGUUAAUCUCUUGACAUUGCAAAGGUUUAAGGUUCGAGCCCUCUUGGAUUCAGGUGCAAAUGUUUGCUUGGUUUCUUCAGAUACAGCGAAGAGAGUCCAACUGCAGGGAGCUCCAACGAUUCUAAUCAUGAAUGUCGCAGGGAAUAACACGCUAAAAUCAAAACAAACGCUUGCUGAGUUCGGUUUGAUGAGCAUUGAUCGAUCGUACGUUUCCACCCCUAAAAGACAACAACCAUUGAGUCAAUUGGGAAACUUUUCAGCCGAUUACUACAAAAGUAAACGAAUUGGAUCAUUGGAAAGACCUGGAAUUUACUGAAAGCUAUCCGGUCUGGACCAGUCGUCCGAUAAACAUUUUGUUGGCAGAACCCUAUUAUUCUCAAUUGAUGAUGCCAGACCAACGCAUUUCUCCCGAGCUUUCUUUGCCAUCGGCAAAACUUACAAAACUGGGUUGGAUGCUCCAUGGUGCCAUACCCACAGAACCUACA